Molecule: transfer RNA, 82 nt
Organism: Pleurotus ostreatus PC15
Lineage: Eukaryota; Fungi; Basidiomycota; Agaricomycetes; Agaricales; Pleurotaceae
Rfam family: tRNA
About the family: Transfer RNA (tRNA) molecules are approximately 80 nucleotides in length. Their secondary structure includes four short double-helical elements and three loops (D, anti-codon, and T loops).
Source: Rfam
GGCCUGAUGGUCUAGUAGUAUGAUUCCUUGUUAGGGCUUGUCCGUUUCGAGGAGGUCCCGGGUUCAAUUCCCGGUCAGGCCC